Engraulis encrasicolus (European anchovy) is the source of this 3234-nucleotide long non-coding RNA. RefSeq lists it as uncharacterized. The transcript has 3 exons. The record is from RefSeq and is a predicted model, not a curated record. NCBI's taxonomy places the organism in Eukaryota, Metazoa, Chordata, Actinopteri, Clupeiformes, Engraulidae.
CAAAGAGGAUGGAAUAGCAAUCAGCUACCAUGGUAACUGGAUGUCAAAAGCAAGGGCUUGUCCGAGUGUGUUUCUCUAUUUUUGUGUUGCUAGUGAUAAUGUAGGAGCAUCCUCACAGUGCAACAGUUCAGUUCAACAUAUAAAGCUCAACAAACCAAGUUAACAAAAUAUCAAAAUAAUCUCAGGAGAAUAUACAAUCAUACAACUUCCCACAAGGGAGUAACACAGUGUCUUUUCAAAAACAUUCACCAUCAUGUGAUAAAAGGAUAACUGAAAAUUUGGUCAAACUUUGUAAUGGCACUCUUAACAUUAUUGCCCAUUAGUGAGAACUGAUAAGAUGCUGCACUGCAGAUGAGAUGAAAAGGUCCUGGAGCCGUGUGCUUCCUUUUGUUUGACUGGCCAAGUCAGAAGCUGAGUAAGUGUGCAAACGAGGCCUUUGUCUGGCUCAGAGCACAUGACUGAUGCAUCACCUGAUCACGCCGAGCUGCUGAGUGGAAGUGAGUGCUCCGGGUCUUGUGACACUGGCUCAGGGGAGGUCUUGACUAAAUUGGUGGCCUGACAGACAGCUUUUUUUUAAAAUCCCUGCGUUACACAUCACUCUACUCUACGGGGAACUUGGCAUUUUUGACUUGACUUUUGGACUUCUUUCUAGGCAAAAGAUCAUCAGCCCUGAGUAUCUCUACACAUGCUGCCUGUACCAAUACUGAAGCAGCCCAUCAAGUGAAUUUGACUGAAGUUAUGACCCUGACCGAACAUAAAAACACAACAACAACAAAAAACACGAUAUAACGGGUUCAAAAUCAGCCUGCUUGUGACGAACGUGAAGUCAAAUCUAUGAAACGGCCCGAUUGGCCUUUGACACAACACUGCAGAAAGUAACCACUAUGAGAGACAAAAAUCAAUCACUGUGCUUAAAAGCAAUAUCAGCACUUUUUCAAGUAAAAGCACCAGCUAAAUAUACUCAGUUCGUUAUACAUUUGGUAAGCCUACCAAAGUUUGUAUUAUUACUAUUGUUAGUAUUAUUAUUAUUACUACAGCAUUUAUAACAGCAAAGUUGUCAUACUGAUGCAGCAUUUAUAUUCCAUGACUAUUACAAUUUUCACUACAGCAUUCCUAUAUAAAACACUAAACGGCAGGAAGGCAUUUGCUGGAGUAGGAAAGGAGGACAGUAAUCCUACCCCAGACAAGACAAGCCAGAUCUUGUUGCUUAGAGGUUAGGCAAGUCGGUUUGAUGUCACAAUUCUCUCCAACAGACCAAUCGUCUGUACCGCUUUUUAAACAACCUUCCACUUCAGCCACAAUAACAUAUUGCACUGCUCAUUAAGUAACCUUGUAUUAGAUCAACAGACAUCGCUUACCACACCUACUGUGAGGAUCUUAAUAUUAUACAACAUUUUUUACUACUGCCCUGACCCCUGACAAACUUUAAGAGGUUUGGUUUCACCCGAACUAACCAGUUGAAAGCUUACGCAGGGUUCUACAAGUAAGACAGUACAGUAUUAACAACAAUGACAAACAGUAACAAAAGGAGGACAACAACUGACAGAGACAAAUGCUCCAUUUAUUCAUUUAUUCAAAAAUAAAUGAAUACAUAGUUAAAAUAGAUAAAGGAGGGCUGCACCUAAAUGCAGAAGAUUGUAUAGGGCAGGCUACUAUUCAGGGCCUUAAUUAGCCUGGCAAUGCCAUCCUAUGUACUUCCACAGAUGGCUUUCGCCCAGGCUAGGCCAUAAUAGCUGAGGGGACAAAACUUUACAGGUUUGGUGUCACUUUAACUCGAGCAGGAUUAGGUCAAAGACACCAGCAGAGCACGCAGUCUGAAGUCAAUUUUAUCAGCCUGGCUGAUUUGCAACUACAGACAAUUAAGCCUAUGUGACAAAAGAAAGGUUGGAGAGCACUGAGCAGACAGCGGCGCGAGACAUCCCAAAACAGUUCCGUUAGAAAUAUGAUCUACAGUUCCACAUCUGGCAGCAGACUAGCUGACCAGAAAUUGGCUCACAAAUAGUAUGUGCCUGCCAUUGUCUUGGAUUUCAUGCACAUUUACCAGAAUUGCUCAAGAUGAACUCCUAGUUGUAUUGUGAAUUCAGUCAAGAAAUACAUAAAGGUUUUGACAACACACAUAAUAUGGCAGACUGUCAACAAUAGUGUCAAUUUAGCAGGGUAGACCCUGAGUCAAAUAGUGCAGUUAACGAGUAGUAGACCAUGUGUUGGUUCUUUUGCCUUUAAUACCUCCACAGCUUUGUGUUCUUUGUUGACGUCUGGUGGCCAUAGGCAGGGUUGGGGAACCCUUUUCAUUUGAAGGGCCACUACAAUUAACACAAACUAGGAUUUCCCCCUGCACUCAAGGCCUAUAUUGAAUGCAGCCACCUUAAAACAGACCUUUACUUCUGUGGGUCCCCUGAAUAUAACUUUCAUUGUAUUGCAAAUGUAAUUUCUAAGAUUCUUUUACAAAAUAUGGCACAUUUCAUAUAAAGCUGGAUAACAUUAAAAUUGUCUCGGGGGUUGGAAAAAACGGCCUCAAGGGCCGCAAACGGCCCUCCAGACAUAGGUUCCCCACCCGUCCUAGAAAAAUAACACAUGGCGCACGUUUGUUUUGUCUAGGAUCUAGCUCUAGAUAACUACACCUACACUACCUAAAGUACCCUCUGGUCACACUCAACAGGUUAACUUAAUGUCUGCCAUAUGUUGUGCUGCAAUCAAACGACGCAGACAAACCGCGAAGCGAUCCACCACAAAUACAAGAUAUUAAACCCAUAAAGUACUUCAUGGGAUGGGAUGUAAGCUUAUCGUUUCAGACAUCGGAACCUUGACAGCAUACAAUUGCUAUCUACAUCAAUUUCCUACAAGCUAACGGAUACUUAAAUGUUGUGCAAUGCUGCCUUGUCAUCGUGGUGAGCGUCUAGUCCAACUGGUUUGUUUAUCAUGUGCUUAUGAGUUUACAGAUUCAAGUUUCAGAUCAAACGAUGACGCAAGGAGACGCCCGAUCCUUUUGUGCUAGUGUCACACUAGUGCUAACUUUCCCUACCAAAUGACAGUGGGAGAUGGCACAGUUUCCUAAGGUUCACCAGCUUAAAUGACACAUACAUGCGGGCAGACAAACAGCAAGACAGACAGGCAUUGCAUUGCCCAGGAGGACAGCACACUACUCAUGAGUGGCCAGGACAAGAAAGGGGAAACUGUAUAAAGUGUGUCAGAAUGACCUUUAUGUCGUGUGGUAAGUACCACAUUUCUGUCUGA